Long non-coding RNA from Galeopterus variegatus (Sunda flying lemur), 5412 nucleotides. RefSeq lists it as uncharacterized. The transcript has 3 exons. NCBI's taxonomy places the organism in Eukaryota, Metazoa, Chordata, Mammalia, Dermoptera, Cynocephalidae. The record is from RefSeq and is a predicted model, not a curated record.
UGCAAAAAAUAAAUAUAAAAUUUAUUAAAACACCCACAAUAUUUUAAAGAUACCAGGAGUAAUACAGUUCACAAACCCAGUUGUUUGUGUAAAUUAUAAUAAGAUACAAAUCAAAAAAGGAUACAUACUUGCAAUUUCUAGGCACCCUAAAUUAAAUUUACUGAAACACUGGGGCAGACAGGAGGGUAAGGAGGGGUAGAUCAGGAGGCAAACCAAUAAAGUGGGAAGAAAAAAUAUUAACAAAAAGGUAAAAAUUAUACAAAAUAAAAUUAUCAGCAUAAAUUUACUGUACUAAGAAUAUCUACAGUUUAAUAAUACACAUCCUAUUGCCUUGAGACAUUGCAAAAAUCUACCAUUCAUCCAUCAACCCCAGAUAAACUUCAUUUCAAGUAGCCACAGUUUACAAAGUCAAGACGGAAUAUUCAAGUAUGGUUGUUAAGUUCACCUCCAUUGGAAGCCAAGUAACCAAACAGGAAUUCAAAGAGAUAAAAAAUAAAACACAUCAAAAAGCUACAGGGCUCGUAGAUUCAGUCUAAUGCAUCAGUAUGCCACGUACGACCUGCCCUUGCUUCUUUAGUUAGAAUACAUGAAAAAGAAGUGACAUCACUCCUGCUUUUCUCCCACUUUUCCCCUUCAAAAGAAAAAAGAUAUUGGGACCAAGAAAAUUUGGAAUGUUCAAAUGAGCCAAUCAGCAAUUUAAUUUAAGUCCCCGUGUGAAGAGUGACGAGUUACCCCUGAAUGACAGGUAGUCAGAAGGAGAGAGCAAACACCUCCACCACAAAAAGCAUCCCUGAUAUCAGAACAGAAGCAAACGAGGAAGGAGGCCGAACCGCUCGCUGAUUCUUAGGCAAAAAGCAACUUCAGACCUUGCGUUUCUGUGCUGGGUCUCUGCUCAGGGGAGAAGCCUGUUACUUUGCUCUUGCCAGCAGCUCUGCAGGAGUUGGCUGGGGGGGGGGGCGGGCAGGCAGGGGCCCCGCGCUCGCUCGCGGGUGGGGGGCUUGUAUAACCCAUGCUGGGGGUAUGCACCUCAAAAAUGUUCGUUUGGUCCAGGGUAUGUUGAAAUUGGCCAUGUACUACAGCAGAUGCAGCUGGCUAAUCAAACCAGGUUUUGAGGGAGUCAUUUCCAAUGACAGCAACGAUGGCUGAGAAAGCUCAAUGAGAUGGGCAUAGGAAAUUCACAUUUUAUUCAAAAGCCAAGCUUAAAAAGAAAACAAAAUAAAGCCAACCAUGAUCCUUCCUUUAGGCAUUCUGCCAUUUUAACUGCUGAAGAAUGAAAAAUAAAAUGACCUCAGAUUCUUCAAGGUCAAAUAUGUCAUCAAAUGGACAACCUGCAGGUAUCAGGCCCUCAUGGAAUCUACUAUACUGAAGUUGUCAUGAUGUCCUGUGUUUGAGGUAUUUAAAAAAAUUAUUGUGACAGUGGAUGACACAAAAUGGAGCUUCCUGUUGAGUUUUUAAAACAUCAACUUCUGUGGACCCAAGGAGAAAUUUAGAAUAGCACCAACUGAAAAGCAGCCUCAGAGGCGUCGAGUGAGCAAAGCAAGCUCCUUUAGUCUGAACCAACGAGAGGCAGGAGCUACACUGGGGGACAACUGUCAGGAGCAAAGGAACGAGCCCUGCCCACCGUGCUCCCGGCUGGCACCCAGUGGGUGAGGAAGAAUCUCCAUGUGAUCUCCCGGCGUGUCCUCAGGACUCCCAGAGAUGUCCACUUAGCACCUGGGGCCACAGCAGAAAAACAUGUGCUCCUGGCUAUGAGAAUGACUGCCACGCUAGAAGAGGCAGGAGUACCCGACUCCCCUCCCUCAAAAACAAAACCCAAAUCCUCAGCCCCUUUUCCUCCUCUGGCCGAGAAGACAAGCGUGAACUCCAAGCACCUGCCAAGCCAGGCAGGCCCACUCCCACCAGGGUGAGGUGCGACUGCCUUCUUGACUUGCCUUGCUUCGUUUGGCCACCAAGGGAACAACAAACAAAACAAACUGUUCAGAGCAGAUUACAGCACGGUAAACAGAGGUCUAGGAAGACAGCACCAAAAGAGCGGGGAAAGAAAGCCAAGAGACUGGAGCCCACCUUGUUUUUGGUUGGUUGUGGUUUCAGAACGUUGAUAGCACCUCAGCAAGACAGGACCAGGGACAGUCACAUUAAAACACCAUAGCACCAUUUUAUUUAGACUAUUUCAAUUCAUAAAAAUGCUUCCUAGUCCAUGAAACACACUUCAGUAACAAAAGGAAAGAGAUUCCGGUUGAGGCACAUCAGGGAUAUCAUACAGUUUUCCACCAGCUUUGCCUUGGUUUGAGACCUCACAAAGGUUAAGCUUCAAGGAGAAAGUCUGGCUGGAUUUUUCACCAAAACCAGGUUACCAUCUACUCAUCACCAACCAUCCUAGCACAUCUACUGCUGUUGGAUACAAAGCAAUUAAGCUCUACUACUUCUUUCCUUGCCUUAGCGCUUUAGAAAAUCCCUUGCUCUGCAAGCUACUGUUUCAAAAAGAGGCUGGUGGAAGGGCCAAGAGGGGGCAGGAUAUGAUCUCUUUCCACAUGUACCACUGUCAUCUUGGUGGGAAGGCAAAGCAGAACCCACGAAACUGGGGUGUGGGAAACUCAGGCCCUGCUAAAAGCCAGACCCAACAACAAAAACUCCAAAAAUCCAUGCAACACCUUUAGUCAUGAUUAGAUGAUUUCUUGAGCUAGCACCAGUUAUUUUGUGAGAACCUGCUGCAAAACGAUUUUUAUUUUAAAAAAUCUCUUAGCACAGAACUUUGCAAGUACUUCCCUUGCACGCAACAGGCAGGGAAAACAAAAAGCAAAAAAGGAACCAAACGUUUGCACUGUGUGUGGAAGAUAUCCGUGGACAGGGCACACGGGGGAGAUGACUCUAAGACUCCAUCAUUUCUUGUUGCUAUAAUGACUCUUAAAACUUGGUCAUGCUGUUAGGUUCUUUAGUUGCAAUGGCUUUAUUUUUCUUCUCAUGAUAAAAAUGUCUGUUAAUCAUCUUUAGGACUUAAAAAAUGAUAGUGCCAGUAAAAAAUAAAAAUUUGAUUUUUCUUUUUAAGAAACCUUAAGCAGCAAGGGGAGGGAUAAAGAGCUGUGCAUAGUUACUUUUAAACACGUCUAAAGCAUGCUAAUUUUAAUGACAGAUUUGAGGUAGGUUAUACAUGUAGUGUGUAAAAAUCAGCAUGGGCUGAGCGCGGCAACAGCAAGCACCACCUAACUCUCAGAACACCAUUCAGAGGGGAAUGGGAAUGUCCAAUGGAGACUGCCUUGACUUGCCUCUCAGCAGCCUGUUUGCUAAUCUGGGAACUUACGAACCAAGACUGUUUGGGUUGGGGUGGGAACAGGCGUUGCAUGCUUGUAGCUUGUAUUGGUUUCUCUUUUCAUCUAAUGGCUUUGCUACCAAAGGGUGAUGAGGGGAAGAGUAUACUUAACAUACGUCAGGAAGAUUCACACAUGCCAAGUAUCAGAAUCACCUGGGAUACACUCAGAACCUUCCAAACCAACAGCCAACCUGGGGCUUCCACGGGCCAUACAGACGGUCACAUUCUCCAAAUGUUUCGUAAAAUAUUGUAUUUCUUGCUUAAGAUCAUUUAAAAUGAAGUUUUCAAGGCACCCCCGCAUCUACCUAAGCACGGAGUCAAAUGAGACCUGCAUAAAAGUACUGAUGCGAUAAGCAAAACAGCAUUUAAAGGACCCAACUUUUCCUCAGAACUAGAAAGUUAGCAUGCUCAUUAAAGACUCUGCUUCCUUUAGCUUGUCAAACUGAAGGUCAGAGGUUUUCCUAUAAAUCUGAGUUCUGAAUAAUUCUAAAUCCUGAUAAGCUCUUGGGUAUUUAUUUCAAAAGCAAUAAUAUUUCAUUUUUGUCCGGUAAAAUAAAUGCAACUUUACAGAACAUGGUAAAAGUGGAGGAUAGACAAAGCACGUUAAAUAUUCAGCUACUAUAUACAAUUUCUCCCACAAUUACAUGUUAAAACAUACUUUAUUCAAGUUGCUGUUUAAAUCUAGGCAAAAGUGCUUAAAAAAAUCUUUCACUAUUUACAGUUAAAACCAGACCACAUAAAUGCUCAGGACAUCUUACAGCGACUCUCCGCCAGUGCUUCCAAAAGCUUACAGUAAACACCCAGUGGGUCGGUACUCAGCUCUUACACAAGGCACCUGGAAGCUCAGGAACUUGCCUUUAGCACUGUCAUCUGAUUGUGAAACUUGAUUUGUGAAAACCCACAUCUGAAUAAAACUGCUCAAUAAAUAUCUGAUGUUUAUGUCAGGGCUUGGUGGUCAUUCAGUGUGUGGCCAUCUUCCCCUCUGUGUCCUGAUGAAGCCCCUCCCCCUUCACCACACAUAUCCACGUGAGUAGCUUGAGAUCAUCUCUGCUAAUACCACAGGAAAAACCAACACUCUAAGAAGUCUGACUUGCUGUAGACGAGUGUUGCUUCCACCUGUCGGGCCCAGCCUCUCAACAAUGUCACAAAAAUUAAGCACCACAUUCUCAUUUCAAGGAACUGAACGAAUGCACCAGAAUUUCAGAACGGGUGUGUUAAAGUGGGUGGAGAAGGGAGGAAGGAAAGGAGAAAAUGAUCAAAUGAGAGAAAUGGCACCAAUUAGGGAGGAAAAUCAUAGCAACCUGUUGAAAACGUUUGACUCUUGCACUUUAAAAUUAAGUGUAGGCCCCCCUCCCCAAUAUGACAGCACAGAGGGGGUGGGCUCAGGGUGAGGCAUGCACCAUUGUCCAAUGUGGAAAUCCAGGAGUAAAGAUAGAUGCGUUAACCGCUGUUACACUGGUUUGCUGAGCUCCCGCAGGACGCCACCUGCACAAGAGUCAAGAAAGUCCCAGCACAACACUACAGCACCAGGCUCCGCACAGAGCAACGCUGGUUUUUCACAGCUUGGGUUCAACAACUUCUUGUUUUUAAAGAUACAGUAGCCCUUUUCGGUAUCAGCAUAGACUUUGGGGCAUUUAAAAAACUGCCACUAAGACAAAUUCCUUCAGCUCAGUAUUCAUUGGCUUGUCAACGUGGUGGAGACGGCUCCUAAAAGCCACUCAACUCCAGCUGCAUCGGGAGGUGCUGCCUAGUGAGCCAUGACAUCAUGUGACUUGAUAAAUAACGGACAGAGAGGAUUCAGUGUGGAGACUAGCAAGCUUGAAGCCGUCUACUUCCAACCUGGAUUCUGGGGAGGUCUAUGCCAGCAUCCCAGGGGCCUGGUCUGGGGUGCAUCUGCUCCCCCCAACUCCAAGCCAGUGACUGGAAAAGGGACCCCAGGUGUUUUUCUACAGAUUCUCCCAUCCUCCCGGAGAGGACAGAGGCUGUCCUGAGGCUCCGAUCCCGAAGGGAAGGUGUGUCUGCCGGGAGGGAUGGACUGCUGGGUGGCUACAAUCCGUGCUUGGCUGAGGGGCACAGGGCUGAGAGGAUCUCGUCAGCACCCAGGC